Molecule: ribosomal RNA, 464 nt
Filed under: uncultured bacterium
Lineage: Bacteria
Description: SSU rRNA
Rfam family: Bacterial small subunit ribosomal RNA
Source: RNAcentral
AGAACGAACGCUGGCGGCAUGCCUAACACAUGCAAGUCGAACGCUUUUGGGGCUUCGGUCCCAAAGGAGUGGCGCACGGGUGAGUAGCGCGUGGGAACCUGCCCUGUUGUGGGGGAUAACCGAGGGAAACUUCGGCUAAUACCGCAUACGCCCGGGGGAAACUCCGGGGAAAGAUUUAUCGCAGCAGGAGGGGCCCGCGUCGGAUUAGGUAGUUGGUGGGGUAACGGCCCACCAAGCCUGUGAUCCGUAGCUGGUCUGAGAGGAUGAUCAGCCACACUGGGACUGAGACACGGCCCAGACUCCUACGGGAGGCAGCAGUGGGGAAUAUUGGACAAUGGGCGCAAGCCUGAUCCAGCAAUGCCGCGUGAGUGAUGAAGGCCUUCGGGUUGUAAAGCUCUUUCGCACGCGACGAUGAUGACGGUAGCGUGAGAAGAAGCCCCGGCUAACUUCGCGCCAGCAGCCGC